Molecule: ribosomal RNA, 725 nt
Filed under: uncultured Russula
Lineage: Eukaryota; Fungi; Basidiomycota; Agaricomycetes; Russulales; Russulaceae
Description: eukaryotic LSU rRNA
Rfam family: 5.8S ribosomal RNA (bases 243-396)
Source: RNAcentral
AUCGUAGUACAAUUGAUUCCGUAGGUGAACCUGUUGAAGCAUCAUUAUCGUUAGACCGAGGUGCGAGGGCUUGCGCUGACCUUUUCGGUCGUGCACGCCCGAGUGCUCUCACACAAUCCAUCUCACCCCUUGUGCUCCACCGCGUGGGUCCCUCUCUGGCUCGUCCGGAGGGGGGCUCGCGUUUUCACACAAACUUGAAGUAGUGUAGAAUGUCCUUUUUUGCGAAAACACGCAAUCAAUACAACCUUCAACAACUGAUCUCUUGGCUCUCGCAUCGAUGAAGAAUGCAGCGAAAUGCGAUACGUAAUCUGAAUAGCAGAAUUCAGUGAAUCAUCGAAUCUUUGAACGCACCUUGCGCCCCUUGGCAUCCCGGGGGGCACACCCGUUUGAGUGUCGUGAAAUUCUCAAAACCCUUUCUUUUGGUCCUUUUUGACCAUGGAAAGGAUUUUGGACUUGGAGGCCUUAUUGCUGGUUUCAACCUUGCUGCGAGCUCCUCCCAAAUGUAUUAGUGGGGUCUGCAUUGUCGGUCCUGGGGGUGAUAAGUUGUUUCUACGUCUUGGAUUUUUGGCGCUGUACACCUGCUUCUAACCGUCUCUCAUUGACAACGAUGGUGUUCCGGUCGCCGCCGAUUUUUCGGUGGGAGGCUUGACCCACGAUAACAAACCUUGACCUCAAAUCGGGUGAGACUACCCGCUGAACUUAAACAUAACACUGGAUCGUUCAGU